RNAcentral lists this ribosomal RNA (465 nucleotides) under uncultured Klebsiella sp. Its description in RNAcentral is "bacterial SSU rRNA". It matches the Rfam family "Bacterial small subunit ribosomal RNA", at positions 338 to 795 of the family's 1533-position model. Lineage: Bacteria; Pseudomonadati; Pseudomonadota; Gammaproteobacteria; Enterobacterales; Enterobacteriaceae. The record is from RNAcentral.
CCUACGGGGGGCUGCAGUGGGGAAUAUUGCGCAAUGGGCGCAAGCCUGAUGCAGCCAUGCCGCGUGUGUGAAGAAGGCCUUCGGGUUGUAAAGCACUUUCAGCGGGGAGGAGGGCGUUAAGGUUAAUAACCUUGGCGAUUGACGUUACCCGCAGAAGAAGCACCGGCUAACUCCGUGCCAGCAGCCGCGGUAAUACGGAGGGUGCAAGCGUUAAUCGGAAUUACUGGGCGUAAAGCGCACGCAGGCGGUCUGUCAAGUCGGAUGUGAAAUCCCCGGGCUCAACCGGGGAACUGCAUUCGAAACGGGCAGGCUAGAGUCGUGUAGAGGGGGGUAGAAUUCCAGGUGUAGCGGUGAAAUGCGUAGAGAUCUGGGGGAAUACCGGUGGCGAAGGCGGCCCCCUGGACAAAGACUGACGCUCAGGUGCGAAAGCGUGGGGAGCAAACAGGAUUAGAUACCCGAGUAGUC